Molecule: ribosomal RNA, 468 nt
Filed under: uncultured bacterium
Lineage: Bacteria
Description: partial 16S ribosomal RNA
Rfam family: Bacterial small subunit ribosomal RNA
Source: RNAcentral
GACGAACGCUGGCGGCGUGCUUAACACAUGCAAGUCGAACGGAAAGGCCCUGCUUUUGUGGGGUGCUCGAGUGGCGAACGGGUGAGUAACACGUGAGUAACCUGCCCUUGACUUUGGGAUAACUUCAGGAAACUGGGGCUAAUACCGGAUAGGAGCUCCUGCUGCAUGGUGGGGGUUGGAAAGUUUCGGCGGUUGGGGAUGGACUCGCGGCUUAUCAGCUUGUUGGUGGGGUAGUGGCUUACCAAGGCUUUGACGGGUAGCCGGCCUGGGAGGGUGACCGGCCACAUUGGGACUGAGGUAGGGCCCAGACUCCUACGGGACGCAGCAGUGGGGAAUAUUGCACAAUGGGCGGAAGCCUGAUGCAGCAACGCCGCGUGCGGGAUGACGGCCUUCGGGUUGUAAACCGCUUUCGCCUGUGACGAAGCGUGAGUGACGGUAAUGGGUAAAAAAGCACCGGCUAACUACGUG